GGGUUGAAUCAAUAAAACAAGUGACAGCUCAUGCUGGUGGGGAUAUGGAGUAAGAGGAACAUUCCUUCAUUGUUGGUGGCAGUGCAAAUUUGUAUGGCCACAAAGGAAAUCACUGUGGCAGCUUCUCAGAAAGAUGGUAAUCUAUCUACCUCAGGAUCCAGCUGUAGAUUCAGAGGAUGCUUCAUCUUACCACAGAGAAACUUGCUCAGCCACGGGCACUCCUGCCAUAUUCUUUAUAGCCAGAAAUUGGAAAGAACCUAGAUUCAACAGAAGAAUAGACACAUAAAAUGUAGUACUUUACACAAUGGACUAUUACUCUGCCAUUAAAAAAGAAAGAAGAAA
RNAcentral lists this long non-coding RNA (342 nucleotides) under Rattus norvegicus (Norway rat). RNAcentral's name for it is "long non-coding RNA NONRATT018450". The record is from RNAcentral. Lineage: Eukaryota; Metazoa; Chordata; Mammalia; Rodentia; Muridae.